This 390-nucleotide long non-coding RNA is filed under the name Homo sapiens (human). Its description in RNAcentral is "non-protein coding lnc-TMEM234-8:1". The record is from RNAcentral. Lineage: Eukaryota; Metazoa; Chordata; Mammalia; Primates; Hominidae.
ACGCGUCCCUCUUUACGCAGGGGCUAGCCGCAGAUCCCAAGGUGCAUAAGGGACUGUAGUCCUGGGAGUCCAAAAGGAGCCCGUCAUUCUGCACGAGUGCCCAUGUCAACCUUGUUUCUAUCUCGCAGAAGCUAUGCUUCAACUCCCAAAGCCUUGCGCCUGGCUGUUGUUUCCUGCAGGCCUCCAUCAAACCUUCCUCCCUGGCCGUGAACAAAUGUGACUCCAUCCGGGAACUCCGAGGACUCGGGAAGAGGGAUAGAGUCCUGGGCUGAGACUCAGGAGACCCAUACUCCAGUCCCAACUUCAUCACGGAUUUGCUGUGUGGCUGGACGUUCUGUUCUCUCUCUGGGCCUCAAUGUCCUUCUUCCAAAGGAGGCUUUUAAUAACAAU